UGAUCAUGGCUCAGGACGAACGCUGGCGGCGUGCCUAAUACAUGCAAGUCGAACGAACUCUGGUAUUGAUUGGUGCUUGCAUCAUGAUUUACAUUUGAGUGAGUGGCGAACUGGUGAGUAACACGUGGGAAACCUGCCCAGAAGCGGGGGAUAACACCUGGAAACAGAUGCUAAUACCGCAUAACAACUUGGACCGCAUGGUCCGAGUUUGAAAGAUGGCUUCGGCUAUCACUUUUGGAUGGUCCCGCGGCGUAUUAGCUAGAUGGUGGGGUAACGGCUCACCAUGGCAAUGAUACGUAGCCGACCUGAGAGGGUAAUCGGCCACAUUGGGACUGAGACACGGCCCAAACUCCUACGGGAGGCAGCAGUAGGGAAUCUUCCACAAUGGACGAAAGUCUGAUGGAGCAACGCCGCGUGAGUGAAGAAGGGUUUCGGCUCGUAAAACUCUGUUGUUAAAGAAGAACAUAUCUGAGAGUAACUGUUCAGGUAUUGACGGUAUUUAACCAGAAAGCCACGGCUAACUACGUGCCAGCAGCCGCGGUAAUACGUAGGUGGCAAGCGUUGUCCGGAUUUAUUGGGCGUAAAGCGAGCGCAGGCGGUUUUUUAAGUCUGAUGUGAAAGCCUUCGGCUCAACCGAAGAAGUGCAUCGGAAACUGGGAAACUUGAGUGCAGAAGAGGACAGUGGAACUCCAUGUGUAGCGGUGAAAUGCGUAGAUAUAUGGAAGAACACCAGUGGCGAAGGCGGCUGUCUGGUCUGUAACUGACGCUGAGGCUCGAAAGUAUGGGUAGCAAACAGGAUUAGAUACCCUGGUAGUCCAUACCGUAAACGAUGAAUGCUAAGUGUUGGAGGGUUUCCGCCCUUCAGUGCUGCAGCUAACGCAUUAAGCAUUCCGCCUGGGGAGUACGGCCGCAAGGCUGAAACUCAAAGGAAUUGACGGGGGCCCGCACAAGCGGUGGAGCAUGUGGUUUAAUUCGAAGCUACGCGAAGAACCUUACCAGGUCUUGACAUACUAUGCAAAUCUAAGAGAUUAGACGUUCCCUUCGGGGACAUGGAUACAGGUGGUGCAUGGUUGUCGUCAGCUCGUGUCGUGAGAUGUUGGGUUAAGUCCCGCAACGAGCGCAACCCUUAUUAUCAGUUGCCAGCAUUAAGUUGGGCACUCUGGUGAGACUGCCGGUGACAAACCGGAGGAAGGUGGGGAUGACGUCAAAUCAUCAUGCCCCUUAUGACCUGGGCUACACACGUGCUACAAUGGAUGGUACAACGAGUUGCGAACUCGCGAGAGUAAGCUAAUCUCUUAAAGCCAUUCUCAGUUCGGAUUGUAGGCUGCAACUCGCCUACAUGAAGUCGGAAUCGCUAGUAAUCGCGGAUCAGCAUGCCGCGGUGAAUACGUUCCCGGGCCUUGUACACACCGCCCGUCACACCAUGAGAGUUUGUAACACCCAAAGUCGGUGGGGUAACCUUUUAGGAACCAGCCGCCUAAGGUGGGACAGAUGAUUAGGGUGAAGUCGUAACAAGGUAGCCGUAGGAGAACCUGCGGUUGGAUCAC
This 1547-nucleotide ribosomal RNA is filed under the name Lactiplantibacillus pentosus. Its description in RNAcentral is "Lactobacillus pentosus 16S ribosomal RNA". It matches the Rfam family "Bacterial small subunit ribosomal RNA". Lineage: Bacteria; Bacillati; Bacillota; Bacilli; Lactobacillales; Lactobacillaceae. The record is from RNAcentral.